Transfer RNA from Oikopleura dioica, 72 nucleotides. It matches the Rfam family "tRNA". From Rfam's summary of the family: Transfer RNA (tRNA) molecules are approximately 80 nucleotides in length. Their secondary structure includes four short double-helical elements and three loops (D, anti-codon, and T loops). Lineage: Eukaryota; Metazoa; Chordata; Appendicularia; Copelata; Oikopleuridae. The record is from Rfam.
GGGGAUGUAGCUCAGGGGUAGAGCGCUCGCUUCGCAUGCGAGAUGUCCUGGGUUCAAUUCCCAGCAUCUCCA